GACAGAGGGUGCAAACGUUGUUCGGAAUUACUGGGCGUAAAGCGUGCGCAGGCGGUUUUGCAAGCCGGAUGUGAAAUCCCCGGGCUUAACCUGGGAAUGGCAUUUGGGACUGCAAGGCUGGAGUGCGGCAGAGGAGACUGGAAUUCCUGGUGUAGCAGUGAAAUGCGUAGAUAUCAGGAGGAACACCGAUGGCGAAGGCAGGUCUCUGGGCUGACACUGACGCUGAGGAGCGAAAGCGUGGGGAGCGAACAGG
This 253-nucleotide ribosomal RNA is filed under the name uncultured bacterium. Its description in RNAcentral is "partial 16S ribosomal RNA". It matches the Rfam family "Bacterial small subunit ribosomal RNA", at positions 524 to 776 of the family's 1533-position model. The record is from RNAcentral.